UUGCAUAUCAAAAAGCGGAGGAAAAGAAACCAACUGGGAUUACCUUAGUAACGGCGAGUGAAGCGGUAAAAGCUCAAAUUUGAAAUCUGGUACUUUCAGUGCCCGAGUUGUAAUUUGUAGAAUUUGUCUUUGAUUAGGUCCUUGUCUAUGUUCCUUGGAACAGGACGUCAUAGAGGGUGAGAAUCCCGUUUGGCGAGGAUACCUUUUCUCUGUAAGACUUUUUCGAAGAGUCGAGUUGUUUGGGAAUGCAGCUCAAAGUGGGUGGUAAAUUCCAUCUAAAGCUAAAUAUUGGCGAGAGACCGAUAGCGAACAAGUACAGUGAUGGAAAGAUGAAAAGAACUUUGAAAAGAGAGUGAAAAAGUACGUGAAAUUGUUGAAAGGGAAGGGCAUUUGAUCAGACAUGGUGUUUUUUGCAUGCACUCGCCUCUCGUGGGCUUGGGCCUCUCAAAAAUUUCACUGGGCCAACAUCAAUUCUGGCAGUAGGAUAAAUCAUUAAGAAUGUAGCUACCUCGGUAGUGUUAUAGCUUAUUGGAAUACUGCUAGCUGGGAUUGAGGACUGCGCUUCGGCAAGGAUGUUGGCAUAAUGGUUAAAUGCCGCCCGUCUUGAAACACGGAC
RNAcentral lists this ribosomal RNA (616 nucleotides) under Hanseniaspora opuntiae. RNAcentral's name for it is "LSU rRNA". It matches the Rfam family "Eukaryotic large subunit ribosomal RNA", at positions 36 to 666 of the family's 3401-position model. The record is from RNAcentral. Lineage: Eukaryota; Fungi; Ascomycota; Saccharomycetes; Saccharomycodales; Saccharomycodaceae.